Molecule: ribosomal RNA, 248 nt
Filed under: uncultured bacterium
Lineage: Bacteria
Description: partial 16S ribosomal RNA
Rfam family: Bacterial small subunit ribosomal RNA
Source: RNAcentral
GCAAGUCGAACGAGAAGCUGGGUGCUUGCACCCGGUGGAAAGUGGCGCACGGGUGAGUAACGCGUAGGCAAUCUGCCCUCAACUGGGGAAUAACCACGGGAAACCGUGGCUAAUACCACAUAACAUCGAGACGUCGCAUGGCGACUCGAUCAAAGCUCAGGCGGUUGAGGAUGAGCCUGCGUUGGAUUAGCUAGUUGGCGGGGUAAUGGCCCAAGGCGACGAUCUAUAGCGGGUCUGAGAGGAUGAUC